This 322-nucleotide ribosomal RNA is filed under the name uncultured eukaryote. Its description in RNAcentral is "partial 18S ribosomal RNA". It matches the Rfam family "Eukaryotic small subunit ribosomal RNA", at positions 1470 to 1796 of the family's 1831-position model. The record is from RNAcentral.
CCCUUAGAUGUUCUGGGCCGCACGCGUGCUACACUGAGUGGAUCAGCGGGUCAGGUUGCGCGAAAGUGUUUCCUAAUCUUGAAAUCCGCUCGUGAUGGGGAUUGACGGUUGCAAUUUUCCGUCAUGAACGAGGUAUACCUUGUAAGCGCGGGUCAUCAUCCCGCGCUGAAUACGUCCCUGCCCUUUGUACACACCGCCCGUCGCUCCUACCGAUUGAGUGGUCCGGUGAGGCUUUGGGAUCUGAGCGGAAAGAGCGUUUCGCUGUUUCUGCUCGGAAAACUCAGUCGAACCUUAUCAUUUAGAGGAAGGAGAAGUCGUAACA